This 253-nucleotide ribosomal RNA is filed under the name uncultured bacterium. Its description in RNAcentral is "partial 16S ribosomal RNA". It matches the Rfam family "Bacterial small subunit ribosomal RNA", at positions 524 to 776 of the family's 1533-position model. The record is from RNAcentral.
CACGUAGGGGGCAAGCGUUGUCCGGAAUGACUGGGCGUAAAGGGCGUGUAGGCGGUUUAUCAAGUCAGAUGUGAAACACCUGGGCUCAACCGAGGUCUUGCAUUUGAAACUGAUAGACUUGAGUGCAGGAGAGGAGAGUGGAAUUCCCAGUGUAGCGGUGAAAUGCGUAGAUAUUGGGAGGAACACCAGUGGCGAAGGCGACUCUCUGGACUGCAACUGACGCUGAGGCGCGAAAGCUGGGGGAGCGAACGGG